GAUGAACGCUGGCGGCGUGCCUAAUACAUGCAAGUCGAGCGAACAGACGAGGAGCUUGCUCCUUCGACGUUAGCGGCGGACGGGUGAGUAACACGUAGGUAACCUACCUAUAAGACUGGGAUAACUUCGGGAAACCGGAGCUAAUACCGGAUAAUAUUUCGAACCGCAUGGUUCGAUAGUGAAAGAUGGCUUUGCUAUCACUUAUAGAUGGACCUGCGCCGUAUUAGCUAGUUGGUAAGGUAACGGCUUACCAAGGCAACGAUACGUAGCCGACCUGAGAGGGUGAUCGGCGACACUGGAACUGAGACACGGUCCAGACUCCUACGGGAGGCAGCAGUAGGGAAUCGUCCGCAAUGGGCGAAAGCCUGACGGAGCAACGCCGCGUGAGUGAUGAAGGUCUUCGGAUCGUAAAACUCUGUUAUUAGGGAAGAACAAACGUGUAAGUAACUGUGCACGGCUUGACGGUACCUAAUCAGAAAGCCACGGCUAACUACGUG
RNAcentral lists this ribosomal RNA (497 nucleotides) under uncultured bacterium. RNAcentral describes it as "partial 16S ribosomal RNA". It matches the Rfam family "Bacterial small subunit ribosomal RNA", at positions 28 to 507 of the family's 1533-position model. The record is from RNAcentral.